Neoarius graeffei (lesser salmon catfish) is the source of this 552-nucleotide long non-coding RNA. RefSeq lists it as uncharacterized. The record is from RefSeq and is a predicted model, not a curated record. The transcript has 3 exons. Lineage: Eukaryota; Metazoa; Chordata; Actinopteri; Siluriformes; Ariidae.
UCAUCGAUACAAUACAACCUGUUAGUCACUUUACAAACAUGUGAAACAUUGAGAGGUUUAAUAGGAAAAGACGAGCGGUGAUUGAUACCAGGGACAAUCUGGGAUCUACAGCAUCUGCAGUGUUUGUUCAGAAACUCAUCCAGCUCUGUGUCACAUUGAAACAAAUCCAGAGACAGAGAACGGGAAGAGGAACUUGCAAAAUGUCAGAUUAGAGAAGAGGCUCGCAGGCAACACCAUCACCAGAAAUGAUUCCUCAGAAUCAGAAUCAUGUCUAGAGUCGAGAUAAAGGCAAAUUUGAGAUCAGAGGUCAAAGGUCAAGCAGAAACAGGAAGUGCUCACCCUGACGAAGUUGUCUGGAAACAGGCCCCUCCGGCCGUCCACCUCGCCUUCCCACCAGCCCCCCUCAUCCUUCCUGAUGUUGCUGAUGAUGUCACCGAUGGCGAUGGUCAACUCAUCAUCGUGCUGGGCCUGAUAGUCAAACUCCACUACGGCCUCCACUGGGGGGGACAGAGAGAGAUAGAGAAGGGGGGAGAGAGAGACAGAGAAAGAGAG